CUCUGUGACUCCUACGGGAGGCAGCAGUGGGGAAUAUUGCACAAUGGGCGCAAGCCUGAUGCAGCCAUGCCGCGUGUGUGAAGAAGGCCUUCGGGUUGUAAAGCACUUUCAGUCGUGAGGAAGGUAGUGUAGUUAAUAGCUGCAUUAUUUGACGUUAGCGACAGAAGAAGCACCGGCUAACUCCGUGCCAGCAGCCGCGGUAAUACGGAGGGUGCGAGCGUUAAUCGGAAUUACUGGGACGUAAAGCGCAUGCAGGUGGUUUGUUAAGUCAGAUGUGAAAGCCCGGGGCUCAACCUCGGAAUUGCAUUUGAAACUGGCAGACUAGAGUACUGUAGAGGGGGUAGAAUUUCAGGUGUAGCGGUGAAAUGCGUAGAGAUCUGAAGGAAUACCGGUGGCGAAGGCGGCCCCCUGGACAGAUACUGACACUCAGAUGCGAAAGCGUGGGGAGCAAACAGGAUUAGAUACCCUGGUAG
This 473-nucleotide ribosomal RNA is filed under the name uncultured bacterium. RNAcentral's name for it is "bacterial SSU rRNA". It matches the Rfam family "Bacterial small subunit ribosomal RNA", at positions 328 to 793 of the family's 1533-position model. The record is from RNAcentral.